CCCCGGGUCAUGCUCGGACAUGCCGGGCUGCGGCCAGCGGAGGAGCUAAGCCCCGACUUGCCUUCGCCUGGCGACGCUAUUUAAAGGCGGCCCGGCCCGGCCCCGCCGCUUCAUGCCAGUGCCGCGCUUCAGCUCAGCCGCGCGCCCGCCGGGAGCGCCCAGGGCUGGGCUUGGCUUGGCUCCGCUCCUCCGGGCGGACGCCCCGCUUCGCUCACACCGGCUCUCCUCGUUGCAGGCAAAUGUGCAACACCAAGAUGUCAGCUGGGUCGGACGACCGCCUGGGCGCCUCUGCCAUUCCCCCCGCCGAGCAGGAGGCACUGGUUAAGCCGAAGCCACUAUUGUUGAAGUUGUUAAAAUUUGCAGGUGCCCAAAAAGACACUUUUACAAUGAAAGAGGUAAUAUUCUAUCUUGGCCAAUAUAUUAUGUCUAAACAAUUAUAUGAUGAAAAACAGCAGCAUAUUGUCCACUGUGGAGAUGAUCUUCUUGGAGAUCUAUUUGGGGUACCAAGCUUUUCGGUAAAAGAACACAGGAAAGUAUACUCAAUGAUUUCCAGAAAUUUGAUAGCAGUCAGUCAACAAGAGUCUAUGGUAGCAAACACCUCUGAAAAUGAGACCCAGUGUCAACUUGAAAAAGGCAGUGUUCUAAAGGAAUCCAUGCAGGAGUUAGUUGACGAAAAACAGACAUCCCCAAAUUUGACUGCUAGACCAACUACCUCAUCUAGGAGGAUGCUCAGUGAAUCUGAAGAAAGUUCUUCAGAUGAACAACCUAGUAAAAGAAGAAAACGGCAUAAGUCAGACAGUAUUUCGCUCACAUUUGAUGAAAGCCUUUCUUGGUGUGUUGUAAGUGGGCUAUGCUGUGAAGGAAGCAACAGUAGUGACUCAAUAGACUCUGCAAGUCCUGAUCUUCAUGCCAGUUCAUUAAGCGAAAACUCUGAUGAUUGGUUUGACCAGAAUUCUGUUUCAGACCAAUUCAGUGUUGAGUUUGAAGUUGAGUCCAUUUAUUCAGAAGAUUAUAGCCAUAAUGAAGAAGGACAAGAGCUCACAGAUGAAGAUGAUGAGGUAUAUCAGGUGACGAUAUAUCAGACUGAAGAGAGUGAUGCUGAUUCAUUCGAUGAAGAUCCUGAAAUUUCACUAGCUGAUUAUUGGAAGUGCACUAAAUGCAAUGAAAUGAACCCUCCCCUUCCACGGCAUUGCCCCAGAUGCUGGGCUCUUCGUGAGGACUGGCUUCCUGAUGAAAAGAAUGACAAAUCUGAAAAGAGAAAAUUGGAAAGUUCCACGCAGCUAGAGCAUGUAGAGGGUUUUGAUGUUCCUGACUGUAAGAAAGUGAAAAUGAAUGAAGAUAAAGAACUAAGUGUUGAAGAAAGUGAGGAUACAACAGCGCAGACUUCUGAAUCCCAGGAAAGUAAGGAACACUCUCAGCCAUCUACAUCUAGCAGUAUCUUCUGUAGCAGUCAAGAGGAUUGCAAAGAACCUGACAAAAAAGAGACAGAAGACAAAGAGGAAAGUAUGGAAUGCAAUCUGCCCCUUUCCAGCAUAGAGCCCUGUGUCAUAUGUCAGAGCAGACCUAAAAAUGGCUGUAUAGUUCAUGGCAAGACAGGACAUCUUAUGUCGUGUUUUACUUGUGCAAGGAAACUGAAAAAGCGGGAUAAACCCUGUCCAGUCUGUAGACAGCCAAUUCAGAUGAUUGUGCUAACUUAUUUUAGUUAGAAGGAACUUCAGCAUAACUGUGCACAGGGCCGGCUCUAGCCAUUUCGCUGCCCCAAGCAUGGCGGCACGCCGCAGAGGGCGCUCUGCCGCUUGUUGGUCCACUGGAGCCGCCUGCCGCCCUCCCGGCAACCGGCAGAGCACUCCCUGCGGCAUGUCGCCCAAAGCGCGCGCUGGGGCCUGGAGCAGCCCCUGACUGUGCAACAAAGCCUCAACAGUCUUUCUUAAAAACUUCCAUAGACUUGAACAAUUAAGAGAGUAAGGAGCUAUUUUUCUAUGUUUAACUAAAGACAUAAUAUUUUGGGUGAUUAUUUUUUUCGUUUGGUUUUAAUGAAAAGUGGAUCUUAAAAAAAUUGCACUGAAAUUGAUAAUUUUCUUCAUUAGGCAUUUGGGGAGAUUUUAAAAUACCCAAAUGCCUGAAACUUAUUUCCAUGUUAGGGAAUCUGUCGCAACAAGACUUGUACAUCACAAGCAGAUCAGUAAUGACACUUGUACAACUAUAUAGAAUAUCCAUUUUAAAAUAGUGAAUGUAAUGUUUUUGAGAAAUGAGAGCGAUCUCAAGUUUCAUUAUUGUGAAAAUCAGUUUUUCUUUGCUCUAAGAAUUAAUAGAUUUUAUAAUUUCAACCUUCCUAUCUUUCUACAAAUUCCAGUAUCUGUUUCUUAGUCAAGUCAUUGGGGAAAAUCGGAACUCCUUAAGAAAUUCCUAGGAAAAUUUCUAUUUUGAAAAAUAAAAUGUUGACGUCAUUGCUGAGAAUUAAAUUUAUUUAUCAAAGUAAAUUGGGGGAAAUAUUUCUGAGACUACUUCAGAUCACCCAAAGAUGUGAAAGCAGCACAGUGAUAUUUUGCAUAAGAGUUGUUUUUUAGUUCAGUAGUUUUUUUAAAUUGAAUCUGUGAUUCUUUGUUUUGUAAGGUUUUUCUGAAUAUUGAAGAGUUGUGAGGUGUAGAUUGGCCAGUUAUAUAUUGAAAUCAGACUUCAAUAUAAAAUGUUGAUCAAAUUUCUUUGGAAAAAAAUCUGUAAAAUUAAAUAUCCUUAAAACUA
This is an RNA transcript of Gopherus evgoodei (Goodes thornscrub tortoise), 2742 nucleotides long. It is a transcript of the gene named MDM2 proto-oncogene, with no coding region annotated. The record is from RefSeq and is a predicted model, not a curated record. The transcript is spliced from 11 exons. NCBI's taxonomy places the organism in Eukaryota, Metazoa, Chordata, Testudines, Testudinidae.